Molecule: small nuclear RNA, 94 nt
Filed under: Caenorhabditis brenneri
Lineage: Eukaryota; Metazoa; Nematoda; Chromadorea; Rhabditida; Rhabditidae
Description: snRNA CBN34289
Source: RNAcentral
GGUUCAAUUACCCAAGUUUGAGGUACAACUCGGGAUUGGGUUGGAAUAAAUGGGAUGAAAACCCCAUCUUCGGAAUCCUCUCAUUGAGAGGAGA